Molecule: unclassified non-coding RNA, 718 nt
Filed under: Pelodytes punctatus (parsley frog)
Lineage: Eukaryota; Metazoa; Chordata; Amphibia; Anura; Pelodytidae
Description: partial contains 12S ribosomal RNA, tRNA-Val and 16S ribosomal RNA
Rfam family: Bacterial small subunit ribosomal RNA (bases 1-478)
Source: RNAcentral
UAAACAUUCGCCAGGGUACUACGAGCGUUAGCUUAAAACCCAAAGGACUUGGCGGUGCCCCAAACCCACCUAGAGGAGCCUGUUCUAUAAUCGAUACCCCCCGCUUUACCUCACCACUUCUUGUCAAUACCGCCUGUAUACCUCCGUCACCAACCUACCCCUUGAGGGAAAUAAAGUAAGUACAAUGAUAUCUUAUCUAAACGUCAGGUCAAGGUGCAGCGUAUGAAGUGGAAAGAAAUGGGCUACAUUUUCUACAUUAGACUACACGAAAGAUUACUAUGAAAUCUAAUCUGAAGGCGGAUUUAACAGUAAAGAGAAACUAGAGUGUUCUCUUUAAACUGGCCCUGGGGCGCGCACACACCGCCCGUCGCCCUCCUCAAUAACUAAUUAAUAAUCUUUAAUAACAAACCUAAGAAUCAGAGGAGGUAAGUCGUAACAUGGUAAGUAUACCGGAAGGUAUGCUUGGAUUAACAAAGUGUAGCUUAAAAAAAGCCUUUCGCUUACACCGAAAUUAUGCCUGUUAAAACCAGGUCACUUUGAGCCAAAACUCUAGCUCACUCACCAAUAAAUAUUUAUAUAACUUAACCUAAAACAUUUAAAUUCUACAGUAUAGGCGAUAGAAAAAGAUUACUGAAGCAAUAAAAAUAGUACCGCAAGGGAAUGAUGAAAUAAAAAUGAAAUAAAUUUUUAAGCACCAUAAAGUAGAGAUUAACACUCG